Molecule: long non-coding RNA, 829 nt
Filed under: Salmo salar (Atlantic salmon)
Lineage: Eukaryota; Metazoa; Chordata; Actinopteri; Salmoniformes; Salmonidae
Description: lncRNA (ENSSSAG00000089313.1)
Source: RNAcentral
GCUUGUGUGUGCUUGUGUCUGUGUGUCUCUGAAUGUGUGUGUGCUUGUGUCUGUGUGUCUCUGAGUGUGUGUGAGUGUGUGUGUGUUUGUGUGUGUGUGUGUGGGUGUGUGCUUGUGUCUGUGUGUCUCUGAGUGUGUGUGUGUGUGUGUGUGUGUGUGUGUGUGUGUGUGUGUGUGUGUGUGUGUGUGUGUGUGUGUCUCUGAGUGUGUGUGUGUGUGUGUGUGUGUGUGUGUGUGUGUCUGUGUGUCUCUGACAUGGGUGGAUGCUGUACAGAAUUGUUAGCCCUGUGCAAACAGUUUUCAAUUACACAGUGCCACGGUUUCGACACACGGACACACACACACUGCCACGGUUCACGGCCUCACAGCUCUCUUUCAAUGACUCAUUCAGCUGAGCUGUUUACACCCUGACCAUCUGUAAAUAAGGUUGUGGUGUUUUUGAGUACAGCAGCUCUCUGUUCUGCUCUUACCUUCAGGAGGUCGUUACUGUACGCUACAGUCGAUAAACCAGGAGGCCUGUACUGGAGGACUCUGUACGCUACAGUCGAUAAACCAGGAGGUCUGUACUGGAGGACUCUGUACACUACAGUCGAUAAACCAGGAGGUCUGUACUGGAGGACUCUGUACACUACAGUCUGUAAACCAGGAGGUCUGUACAGGAGGACUCUGUACGCUACAGUCUGUAAACCAGGAGGUCUGUACAGGAGGACUCUGUACGCUACAGUCUGUAAACCAGGAGGCCUGUACAGGAGGACUCUGUACGCUACAGUCGAUAAACCAGGAGGUCUGUACAGGAGGACUCUGUACGCUACAGUCGAUAAACCGGGAG